Molecule: ribosomal RNA, 468 nt
Filed under: uncultured bacterium
Lineage: Bacteria
Description: partial 16S ribosomal RNA
Rfam family: Bacterial small subunit ribosomal RNA
Source: RNAcentral
GACGAACGCUGGCGGCGUGCUUAACACAUGCAAGUCGAACGGAAAGGCCCUGCUUUUGUGGGGGGCUCGAGUGGCGAACGGGUGAGUAACACGUGAGUAACCUGCCCUUGACUUUGGGAUAACUUCAGGAAACUGGGGCUAAUACCGGAUAGGAGCUCCUGCUGCAUGGUGGGGGGUUGAAAGUUGCGGCGGGUGGGGAUGGACUGGCGGGUUAUCAGCUUGUUGGUGGGGUAGUGGCUUACCAAGGCUUUGACGGGUAGCCGGCCUGAGAGGGUGACCGGCCACAUUGGGACUGAGAUACGGACCAGACUCCUACGGGAGGCAGCAGUGGGGAAUAUUGCACAAUGGGCGGAAGCCUGAUGCAGCAACGCCGCGUGCGGGAUGACGGCCUUCGGGUUGUAAACCGCUUUCGCCUGUGACGAAGCGUGAGUGACGGUAAUGGGUAAAGAAGCACCGGCUAACUACGUG